RNAcentral lists this ribosomal RNA (292 nucleotides) under uncultured Acidobacteriota bacterium. Its description in RNAcentral is "uncultured Acidobacteria bacterium partial 16S ribosomal RNA". Lineage: Bacteria; Pseudomonadati; Acidobacteriota. The record is from RNAcentral.
GGACUACUGGGGUAUCUAAUCCUGUUUGCUACCCACGCUUUCGCGCCUCAGCGUCAGUACCGGUCCAGGUAGCCGCCUUCGCCACUGGUGUUCCUCCCAGUAUCUACGCAUUUCACCGCUACACUGGGAAUUCCGCUACCCCCUCCCGGCCUCAAGCCUCACAGUUUCAAAGGCAGUUCCUCAGUUGAGCCGAGGGAUUUCACCUUUGACUUACGAAGCCGCCUACGCGCCCUUUACGCCCAAUAAUUCCGAAUAACGCUCGCCCCCUCCGUAUUACCGCGGCUGCUGGCAC